RNAcentral lists this ribosomal RNA (253 nucleotides) under uncultured bacterium. RNAcentral's name for it is "partial 16S ribosomal RNA". It matches the Rfam family "Bacterial small subunit ribosomal RNA", at positions 524 to 776 of the family's 1533-position model. The record is from RNAcentral.
UACAGAGACUGCAAGCGUUAUUCGGAUUCACUGGGCGUAAAGGGCGCGUAGGCGGCCUGAUAAGUCGGGGGUGAAAGCCUGUGGCUCAACCACAGAAUGGCCUUCGAUACUGUUAGGCUUGAGACCGGAAGAGGUAAGUGGAACUGCGAGUGUAGAGGUGAAAUUCGUAGAUAUUCGCAAGAACACCAGUGGCGAAGGCGGCUUACUGGUCCGGUUCUGACGCUGAGGCGCGAAAGCGUGGGGAGCAAACAGG